CGCCGCUCCCUGCAUGCCCGGCGCCCGGGUCGCAGCCCACCUGGACUCUCUGGGCCCCCUGGUCUCCUACGUGCAGCCUCCACUGCUGCCCUCUAUGUUCUACGUGGGCCUGUUCUUCGUCAAUGUGCUGAUCCUGUACUACGCCUUCCUCAUGGAGUACAUCGUCCUCAAUGUGGGCCUCGUCUUCCUGCCCGAGGACUUGGACCAGGCGCUUGUGGACCUUGGCGUGCUCUCCGACCCCGGCUCUGGCCUCUAUGAUGCUGAUUCAGAGCUCGACGUCUUCGAUGGUUACUUGGAGUAAGGCCUUAACUGCUGUAUCCCCUUCCCCUCCGCGAUCCGUAACCCUUGGCCUGGACCAGCUGCCCAGAUCAUGCCGCCCCUCCUGGUUGGGGACGCCGUCCAGAUGGAGAUGGGACCCCCAGGACAAGACCCUCCCCGGCCUCCAAGGCCUGCCUGCUCCCCUCCAAAGCUUCGUGCCAACAGAGAGGUCCUCGGGAGAGUGGAAGGAGAGAUUGGGACUGAGUGCCCAGGCUGAGAAGGCCCUCGUCCCCACGGGGAAGACGCGCCACGUCACUCAGAGGGCUGGCCUUGGCACGCGACUCCAUGCGGUCAGGACGGAUGUUCCCGCGAGCCCAGCCCAGGUCUGCUGCCUGCACUGCGCUCCGCAGGCCACCUGCUUCCCCCUGCUCCACCUCUGCAGGAGACACUGCGAAGUGAAGCUGAGGCCACACCCAGAGGCCGCUCACAGGUCCUUUCUCUACCAGUUGAGCCUCAAGCCCGGUGGGUUUCCAGCCCAGGUCUGGUCUCAGCGACUGCUUUGGGGGUGACUCGGAAAAAAAGCUGAGGAAAUGUCAGAGGCCGAGGUUAGGGCCUUGACUUACUCAUUUCAAGUUGCUUGUUCAUCGUGUCGGCAGGACUCAGACAUUAGGCUGCAGGGUGCCGUGUUGCUCCUCUGGCCAGAAAUAUAUUUUUGAAAAUGUGAGCAGUGUGAAUACUUGAUUUCGAUAAACCUGUAAAAGCAAUACUUAGGAGGCUGACUUAUUUCGAUUAAAAAAUGUAUGCAACUCCA
This is an RNA transcript of Fukomys damarensis (Damara mole-rat), 1069 nucleotides long. It is a transcript of the gene named Dexi homolog, with no coding region annotated. The transcript has 2 exons. The record is from RefSeq and is a predicted model, not a curated record. Lineage: Eukaryota; Metazoa; Chordata; Mammalia; Rodentia; Bathyergidae.